This is a long non-coding RNA of Sinocyclocheilus grahami, 348 nucleotides long. RefSeq lists it as uncharacterized. The transcript has 3 exons. The record is from RefSeq and is a predicted model, not a curated record. Lineage: Eukaryota; Metazoa; Chordata; Actinopteri; Cypriniformes; Cyprinidae.
GUUUCGUAUCUGUGAUAGAAACUGAAGCGUGAAUUGAAAGUGAAAGUAAAAUCAGCUGUUUCUGUUUAUGUCUGUAUGAAACUCAUUGUUAUGCUACGAGUAAAAGGGAGCGGAAGUAUCUUGAAGAGGAUACAACACUGAGAAGCCUUUGCAGUCGUAUAUGUCUGUGGAUGGGGAAGUAUUGGAGUAAAAUGUCUCGACUAUUCUACCGCUCUGCAUCAUUGAAUUAUGAAGUGAGGGAUCUUUUAAACUACAAUCUGUCCUGCUGUGUUAAUUCUUUGCUUCAGACCUUUUCUGCCACCACUGAACUCCUGGACAUACUGAACAAGUAAAGCUCUAUUGUCUUUU